UGGGGAAUAUUGCACAAUGGGGGAAACCCUGAUGCAGCGACGCCGCGUGAGCGAAGAAGGCCUUCGGGUCGUAAAGCUCUUUUAUGAGGGAAGAUAAUGACGGUACCUCAAGAAAAAGCCCCGGCUAACUACGUGCCAGCAGCCGCGGUAAUACGUAGGGGGCUAGCGUUGUCCGGAAUCACUGGGCGUAAAGGGUUCGCAGGCGGAAUAACAAGUCAGAUGUGAAAGGCAUGGGCUCAACCCAUGUAAGCAUUUGAAACUGUAAUUCUUGAGAAGUGGAGAGGUAAGUGGAAUUCCUAGUGUAGCGGUAAAUGCGUAGAUAUUAGGAGGAAUACCUGUGGCGAAGGCGACUUACUGGACACAAAUCUGACGCUGAGGAACGAAAGCGUGGGUAGCAAACAGG
RNAcentral lists this ribosomal RNA (403 nucleotides) under Verrucomicrobiota bacterium. RNAcentral describes it as "Verrucomicrobia bacterium partial 16S ribosomal RNA". It matches the Rfam family "Bacterial small subunit ribosomal RNA", at positions 355 to 776 of the family's 1533-position model. Lineage: Bacteria; Pseudomonadati; Verrucomicrobiota. The record is from RNAcentral.